GACAGAGGGUGCGAACGUUGCUCGGAAUUACUGGGCGUAAAGCGCGUGUAGGCGGACUCGUAUGUCGGGUGUGAAAUCCCUGGGCUCAACCCAGGAACUGCAUCCGAAACUGCGUGUCUUGAGUGGUGGAGAGGAAGGCGGAAUCUGUGGUGUAGAGGUGAAAUUCGUAGAUAUCACGGGGAACACCGGUGGCGAAGGCGGCCUUCUGGACACUUACUGACGCUGAGACGCGAAAGCGUGGGUAGCAAACAGG
Molecule: ribosomal RNA, 253 nt
Filed under: uncultured bacterium
Lineage: Bacteria
Description: partial 16S ribosomal RNA
Rfam family: Bacterial small subunit ribosomal RNA
Source: RNAcentral